Molecule: ribosomal RNA, 245 nt
Filed under: uncultured bacterium
Lineage: Bacteria
Description: partial 16S ribosomal RNA
Source: RNAcentral
CUGCUGCCUUCCGUAGGAGUCUGGGCCGUAUCUCAGUCCCAAUGUGGCCGGCCAACCUCUCAGUCCGGCUACUGAUCGUCGCCUUGGUGGGCCGUUACCUCACCAACUAGCUAAUCAGACGCGAGGCCAUCUUCCAGCGAUAAAUCUUUGACAUUCAAACCAUGCGAUUCAAAUGUAACAUGCGGUAUUAGCAGUCGUUUCCAACUGUUGUCCCCCUCUGGAAGGCAGGUUCCUCACGCGUUACU